This 74-nucleotide transfer RNA is filed under the name Pelodiscus sinensis (Chinese soft-shelled turtle). It matches the Rfam family "tRNA". Rfam says of the family: Transfer RNA (tRNA) molecules are approximately 80 nucleotides in length. Their secondary structure includes four short double-helical elements and three loops (D, anti-codon, and T loops). Further hydrogen bonds mediate the characteristic L-shaped molecular structure. tRNAs have two regions of fundamental functional importance: the anti-codon, which is responsible for specific mRNA codon recognition, and the 3' end, to which the tRNAs corresponding amino acid is attached (by aminoacyl-tRNA synthetases). tRNAs cope with the degeneracy of the genetic code in two manners: having more than one tRNA (with a specific anti-codon) for a particular amino acid; and 'wobble' base-pairing, i.e. permitting non-standard base-pairing at the 3rd anti-codon position. The record is from Rfam by way of RNAcentral. Lineage: Eukaryota; Metazoa; Chordata; Testudines; Trionychidae.
GAUUUGCUAGCUCAGUUGGCUAGAGCAUGGUGCUAAAAACACCAAGGUCAUGGGUUCAAGCCCCAUGCUGGCCA